Molecule: small nucleolar RNA, 107 nt
Organism: Magnolia sinica
Lineage: Eukaryota; Viridiplantae; Streptophyta; Magnoliopsida; Magnoliales; Magnoliaceae
Source: RefSeq, a predicted model, not a curated record
UAACCAUGAUGUGGACAAGUAAGGAGAAGUUCUUUGAAGUGCUCUCAAGCUUGGAAAAAGAAUUCAUUCCCCUUUUGGGAGAAUGACAUAAUUUCUUGUUUUAGUGC